This 1383-nucleotide long non-coding RNA is filed under the name Capsicum annuum. Its description in RNAcentral is "long non-coding RNA (CANN_LNC005712)". Lineage: Eukaryota; Viridiplantae; Streptophyta; Magnoliopsida; Solanales; Solanaceae. The record is from RNAcentral.
CUACAUAGAGGUCAAUUCUCCUUUUCUAAAAAUAUAAAAAAAUUGGGUUGCUUUCACAUCUAGAUCAUGAUUGAAACAUGAAUUUUAAAAUGUCAAUCACUUAACCAAUAAGGUAAUUUUAUUUAUAUCAUUUUUUAAAUAUAAUAAAUUUAAUAUAUUAAAAAAUAUAUUAGAUAAUAAAUAGUAUUUAAUAACAAAGAUAAAUGAGUACAAAUAAAUAAAAUAUACAGUAAUUUUUAAACCUAAACAAGCAUUAUUAAAUAUUUAUUUUAUUAACAUAAACAAGUAAAAAAUGAACAAAAAAAAAAAAAUCUAUUAAGUUAAACGUCAAUUGUUGAAGGUGGUGUGGAAAGCUUAUUAGAAUUCAUGGACAUUGAAACACAUAGGCAGAUAAAUUCAGAUAUGAAUUAGUCAUAAUUACAAGGAUUAAAGAUAUGAGAAAACAUUUCUCUCCAAGAUUAAUUCAAUUAGGAAUGCAUUCAAUUUUGAUUUAGUGUUAAAAGCAGAAUGCACGAUAAUAGUUUAAAAAAAAUUAAUAUUCAAGUGGAAAAAGUUAGAUUGAGGUAGGGUCCAUUAUCCAUCGAAUUUCAAACCAUAGGACAUAAAAGAAAAAAGGUUAAAUUUAAUUAAAUAUAAUAAAGGAGUGUGAUGUGACAUCUUUUUGUCUUCAAUCGAAAAAUAAUAUAUGGAGGUACAUUUAAGAUUUGGGCAAAAUAUUUUCAUUUUUUUGUCUUCAAUUCAAAAAUAAUUUGUGGAGGUACAUUAAAGAUUUGUGCAAGAUAUUUUCAUCCUUUUUGUCUUCAAUUCAAAAAUAAUUUAUGGAGGUACAUUAAAGAUUUGUGCAAGAUAUUUUCAUCUUUUUGUCUUCAAUCCAAAAAUAAUUUAUGGAGGUACAAUAAACAUUUGUCCAAGAUAUUUUCAUUUCUAUGCUGUUUGAUAUGUCAAUUGUCUGCUCCACCUUUAAUCAGAGAUCGAUGGUUCGAUCCUAGGCAUGAAGAAAACUCUGUUGGGACUGCUAUCUCCUGAAUGGAGUCCUACCCGGUGUGAAUUCGAAUUAGUCAGGCUCCAAUGUGGGUAUCAGACACCGAAUGAGAAACCAAAAAAAGAAGAUAUGUCAAUUGUAUAUUUUCAUCUUAUCUUAUUUAUUUUUGUAUUUUUCAAAUUUGAAAAAAUAUAUAUUUGAGCUAAAAAUCUAUCAAAAAUAAUUUUUUUAUCUAAAAAUAAAAUUAGCACACAAUUUUUUCUGGACUCCACUUAUUAUUAUUGUUUGUUAUUAAGUUGAGAUUAUUAGGAUCAAGAGAGGGAAAAAGGAGGGGAAAUUUUCACUUAUCUUGUGGAUGGAAAUAUUGGAAUUUACUAAUAAUAGAAGAGCAUACACAUCGC